Molecule: non-coding RNA, 74 nt
Organism: Hippopotamus amphibius kiboko
Lineage: Eukaryota; Metazoa; Chordata; Mammalia; Artiodactyla; Hippopotamidae
Source: the annotation of a RefSeq genome assembly
GUCCUGAUAGUUCAGUCGGUAGAACAUCAGACCUCUAAUCUGAGGUUCCAGGGUUCAAGUCCCUGUCCGGGAGA